RNAcentral lists this ribosomal RNA (1126 nucleotides) under Proteiniborus ethanoligenes. RNAcentral's name for it is "bacterial LSU rRNA". It matches the Rfam family "Bacterial large subunit ribosomal RNA", at positions 1 to 1119 of the family's 2925-position model. The record is from RNAcentral. Lineage: Bacteria; Bacillati; Bacillota; Clostridia; Eubacteriales.
AACUGGUCAAGAUACUAAGAGCAUAGGGUGAAUGCCUUGGCACCAGGAGCCGACGAAGGACGGGAUAAGCACCGAAAUGCCACGGGGAGUCGCAAGUAGACCUAGAUCCGUGGAUAUCCGAAUGGGGAAACCCGCCUAAGGAGAACCUUAGGCAUCAUCUACUGAAUCCAUAGGUAGAUAGAAGGCAAACCAGGGGAACUGAAACAUCUAAGUACCCUGAGGAAAAGAAAGAAACCUCGAUUCCCUAAGUAGCGGCGAGCGAACGGGGAAAAGCCCAAACCGGUAAAGUUUACUUUACCGGGGUUGUGGACCGGCGAUAUGGAAACAAUAAUUGUAGUCAAAGAGGUCUGGAAAGUCCCACCAUAGCAGGUGAAAGUCCAUUAGACGAAACAAUUAGAGUUACUAGCCGAGUUCCAGAGUACCACGGGACACGUGAAACCCUGUGGGAAGCAGGGGGGCCCACCCCCCAAGGCUAAAUACUACCUGGUGACCGAUAGAGAAUAGUACCGUGAGGGAAAGGUGAAAAGAACCCCGGGAGGGGAGUGAAAAAGAACCUGAAACCCUAUGUUUACAAGCAGUGGAAGUUCUAUAUAAGAACGACCGCGUACUUUUUGUAGAACGGGCCAACGAGUUACGAUAUGCAGCAAGGUUAAGUACUUCAGGUACGGAGCCGUAGGGAAACCGAGUCUUAAUAGGGCGUCAUAGUUGCAUGUCGUAGACCCGAAACCGGGUGACCUACCCAUGGGCAGGUUGAAGUUGAGGUAAAACUCAAUGGAGGACCGAACCGCUUAGCGUUUAAAAGCUAUCGGAUGACCUGUGGGUAGCGGUGAAAUUCCAAUCGAACCCGGAUAUAGCUGGUUCUCCUCGAAAUAGCUUUAGGGCUAGCCUCAAGAAAAAGUGACGUGGAGGUAGAGCACUGACUGGUCUAGGGGCGUCUAUACGUUACCAAAACCUAUCAAACUCCGAAUGCCACAGUCAUAGACUUGGGAGUCAGACUAUGAGAGAUAAGUUUCAUAGUCAAAAGGGAAACAGCCCAGACCACCAUCUAAGGUCCCAAAGUACAAGUUAAGUGGAAAAGGAUGUAAGACUACACAGACAACCAGGAUGUUGGCUUAGAAGCAGCCAC